UGGGGAAUAUUGCACAAUGGGCGCAAGCCUGAUGCAGCGAUGCCGCGUGAGGGAAGAAGGUUUUCGGAUUGUAAACCUCUGUCAUCAGGGACGAAAAAGGACGGUACCUGAGAAGGAAGCUCCGGCUAACUACGUGCCAGCAGCCGCGGUAAUACGUAGGGAGCAAGCGUUAUCCGGAAUUACUGGGUGUAAAGGGAGUGUAGGCGGGACUGUAAGUCAGAUGUGAAAUAUGCCGGCUCAACUGGCAGACUGCAUUUGAAACUGUGGUUCUUGAGUGAAGUAGAGGUAAGCGGAAUUCCUGGUGUAGCGGUGAAAUGCGUAGAUAUUAGGAGGAACACCAGUGGCGAAGGCGGAUUGCUGGACGACAACUGACGGUGAGGCGCGAAAGCGUGGGGAGCAAACAGGAUUAGAUACCCUGGUAGU
This 423-nucleotide ribosomal RNA is filed under the name uncultured Ruminococcus sp. RNAcentral describes it as "bacterial SSU rRNA". It matches the Rfam family "Bacterial small subunit ribosomal RNA", at positions 355 to 794 of the family's 1533-position model. The record is from RNAcentral. Lineage: Bacteria; Bacillati; Bacillota; Clostridia; Eubacteriales; Oscillospiraceae.